Carlito syrichta (Philippine tarsier) is the source of this 1814-nucleotide RNA transcript. It is a transcript of the gene named V-type proton ATPase subunit B, brain isoform pseudogene, with no coding region annotated. The transcript has a single exon. The record is from RefSeq and is a predicted model, not a curated record. NCBI's taxonomy places the organism in Eukaryota, Metazoa, Chordata, Mammalia, Primates, Tarsiidae.
AUGGCGCUGCGGGUAAUGCAGGGAUCAUGAACAGGGCCGCGGCCGCGCUACCGGUGCCCACCCGUGGGCCGGUGGCGGGACCUCGGGAGCAGGCGCUGGCAGUUAGUCGGAACUACCUCUCCCAGCCUCACCUCACAUACAAGACAGUAUAAGGAGUCAAUGGUCCUCUAGUGAUCCUAGGUCAUGUUAAGUUUCCCAGAUAUGCUGAGAUUGUUCACUUGACAUUACCAGACGGCACGAAGAGAAGUGGACAAGUUCUAGAAGUUAGUGGUUCCAAAGCAGUGGUUCAGGUAUUUGAAGGGACUUCAGGUAUAGAUGCUAAGAAAACGCCCUGUGAGUUUACUGGGGAUAUUCUCCGAAUACCAGUGUCUGAAGACAUGCUUGGUCGGGUAGUCAAUGGAUCAGGAAAACCCAUCGACAGGGGUCCUGUUGUCCUGGUUGAAGACUUCCUUGAUCUCAUGGGCCAGCCAAUCAAUCCUCAAUGUCGAAUCUACCCGGAGGAGAUGAUUCAGACUGGCAUUUCGGCCACAGAUGCAUGAACAUUAUUGCUAGGGGACAGAAAAUUCCUAUCUUCUCUGCUGCUGAGUUACCACACAAUGAGAUUGCAGCUCAAAUCUGUUGCCAGGCUGGUUUGGUAAAGAAAUCCAAAGAUGUAGUGGACUACAGUGAGGAAAAUUUUGCAAUUGUGCUUGCUGCUAUGGCUGUAAACAUGUAAACUGCCCAGUUCUUCAAAUCUGACUUUGAAGAAAAUGGCUCAAUGGACAAUGUCUGUCUCUUUUUGAACUUGGCUAAUGAUCCAACUAUUGAGUGAAUUAUCACUCCUCGCCUGGCUCUUACCACAGCUGAAUUUCUGGCUUACCAGUGUGAGAAGCACGAACUGGUUAUCCUAACAGACAUGAGCUCUUAUGCUGAAGCACUUCGAGAGGUUUCCGCAGCCAGGGAAGAGGUUCCCGGUCAACGAGGCUUCCCAGGUUACAUGUAUACAGAUUUAGCCACGAUAUAUGAACGCACAGGUCAAGUGGAGGGUAGCAUUCUCACCAUGCCUAACGAUGAUAUCACUCACCCCAUCCCUGACCUGACUGGAUACAUUACAGAGGGGCAGAUCUAUGUGGACAGACAGCUACACAACAGACAGAUUUACCUGCCUAUUAACGUGCCGCCCUCACUAUCACGGUUAAUGAAGUCUGCUAUUGGAGAAGGUAUGACCAGAAAGGAUCAUGCCGAUGUGUCUAACCAGCUGUAUGCAUGCUAUGCUAUUGGGAAGAAUGUGCAAGCCAUGAAAGCCGUAGUUGGAGAAGUAGCCCUUACCUCAGAUGAUCUUCUUUACUUGGAAUUUCUGCAGAAGUUUGAGAGGAACUUUAUUGCUCAGGGUCCUUAUGAAAACCGCACUGUCUAUGAGACUUUGGACACUGGCUGGCAGCUACUCCGAAUCUUCCCCAAAGAAAUACUGAAGCGAAUUCUUCAGAGCACCCUGAGUGAAUUUUACCCUCGAGACUCUGCAAAGCAUUAACCCAUUGCUUCAUCACUGGCUUGGGCCUCUUGUGAAAUACUGGUUCUGUUUACUUUAUUCUUCGUGUACUCCCCCACCCCUGCCCCCACCUUUGUGUUGGAGUUUACUGUGUUACCCUGUAAUUAAACAUGAGAAUAGGUAACAUAUUGUGCCAGUGUUGCAAUGUUUUAAACUGCUAACAGACUUUAAAAUAUCCCCUAUUCAGAGAACCUGGGUUUUCAGUGCUUUGUUUAAAGUAGCUGCAGGGGCGGAGGUGUGUUUUCUUGUUGAUGUAUGUAUUGUACAUAGUGGUUGUAGUUAGUUA